Molecule: ribosomal RNA, 253 nt
Filed under: uncultured bacterium
Lineage: Bacteria
Description: partial 16S ribosomal RNA
Rfam family: Bacterial small subunit ribosomal RNA
Source: RNAcentral
UACGGAGGGUGCAAGCGUUAUCCGGAUUCACUGGGUUUAAAGGGUGCGUAGGCGGGCAGGUAAGUCAGUGGUGAAAUCUCCGGGCUUAACUCGGAAACUGCCGUUGAUACUAUCUGUCUUGAAUAUCGUGGAGGUUAGCGGAAUAUGUCAUGUAGCGGUGAAAUGCUUAGAUAUGACAUAGAACACCCAUUGCGAAGGCAGCUAACUACACGAUCAUUGACACUGAGGCACGAAAGCGUGGGGAGCAAACAGG